UCCGCGCCCCCCGCUGCGCGGCGCCCCACCACUAUGUGACGUACUGCGAGAUCCGGGGGGCAGCGAUCUCGCCAAGAGCGCGCAGUCGAAGCCACGUCCACAGCAGCGCAGCGCCAGGUCGGUCGGCCUCAACGCCCGGCGACUGACUCGCGGUCGGCGAGCAAUGCGCGGUCGGCAUCUUCUGCUGGCCACGCCCGACGACGCAUGGUGUUCCGUGCAGGCGCCGCGAGGGAGGAAACCGUGCAGCAAGCCGCCCUGCUCGCCCGGAUGGAUGGGCGGAGAUCGAGCAGGAACGCGCGGGAUUUGAUCUUACCUUCUCACGGUCGGCUACCCUCUCUCCCUCCGUGUCCUCCAUCGGUGAAGUUAGAUCUUGGAGGUAAGCAAAAACCCUGGAUGCUAGAUUGAGUCUAUCUUAUACAUACGGGCUUUGAAGGGUAGCUAGAUAAGUAGUAUACGGUUAGGAUUAGGUUGUUAGGAUAAGGUGUUUUUGAGGGGAUUGUGUUUUCGUUGGAUAAGCUGUUUUAACUGUUUUAACUGGUGACUGUGCUUUGCAGGUGAAAUUUUGAUACUUGUUUGGUAAACUGUUUUGAAUGAAUUUUUAUAAUUAUAGUCGACUGCCCGUGCGUUGCUACGGGAUGAUAAAAUUAGACACAUAGAUAUUUUAACUUUAAAACAUCGUUAAUUCAAUGUGUCGCAAGCAACAUGAAUAGAAUAUAAAUGUUAGUUUGAUUUUCAAUGUAAAUUUCAUGAAAAUAAAAUAUGCCAAUGCAAAGACUGAACCACGUAUGAGAGUUACCACUCCAACUUUUAAUAUUGUGCCAUUGUGCCGGAUUCAAAUACCAAUCCGUAGCCCCACACAAAAAAAAACAGUCCGUAGUAAUAAAAUGCAAGGCAAAUUUAGGCUGAUUUCUAUGCUCUCGCGCUCUCUUAAAAACAUAGCAAAAUUACCCUGUGCUCUCACGUUCGUCCUGCCCCAGCUGCAUCUCUCCCGAUGAGGUGCCUUCCCAUGUGCACAUAUUUUCCCCAAAAUUUGAGCUCAUAAAGCAUCAAGUUGGAACAGCAAAACACAAGGCAAUAGGGCAUCAGAUUACAAUAAAAGCAUUGGGUUGGAACAGCGUAAAACAUAAGAUAAUAAGGCAUUAGGUUCUGCAUGUUGAGUUGAGACUUGAGAAUCAGGUUCACCAAAAAAUUCUCACAAAUUAUUUUCGUGUUCAUAGAUAGAAGUUCAAGAUGAUAAUAAAAGGUCCGUACUUUUCCUCUUCACCAGAGUUUUCAUGUUCCCUUGUGUGGCCUUCUCUGCAACCUUUUGUACAAGGCUAUUCAUAGGAGUUCCCAAGAGCAUGGCUUGGGAUAGGUUGACCUGCAGCUACGCCAUUGCCAGCUCUCCAAGGAUCGUAAUAGUAAACAUGUCCUCCACUGGUCUUAAUGGUGAUAUAUCGUCUUCUUUCGCAACUCUCAAGGUUGUCCAAUGUAUGUUAAGAGUUGUAGAUAUAUCUUAUCCUUUGUUUGCUCUUUGCAUUUUAGUAAAGAAAAGAAAAGAGGAAAAUACAUGCCCCACGGAAACUGAAAUUGAGGAUAUAGUGAUUGACCUCUUCUAGUUAUUAAAUUCUUAAUCAUGCGGAUC
Molecule: long non-coding RNA, 1624 nt
Organism: Hordeum vulgare subsp. vulgare (domesticated barley)
Lineage: Eukaryota; Viridiplantae; Streptophyta; Magnoliopsida; Poales; Poaceae
Exons: 2
Source: RefSeq, a predicted model, not a curated record